UUUUUCCGACAGGGGAGCGUCAGACUUUUUAAAAGUCGCAAGACGCUGAGAGUGCGAUAGAUCGCAGACCCUCGAACCUGCCCCGGCUAGUACCGGCGAAGGAAGUCGAGCAUCUCGGAUG
RNAcentral lists this non-coding RNA (121 nucleotides) under Glutamicibacter arilaitensis. RNAcentral's name for it is "Arthrobacter arilaitensis TPP sequence". It matches the Rfam family "TPP riboswitch aptamer (THI element)". From Rfam's summary of the family: Vitamin B(1) in its active form thiamin pyrophosphate (TPP) is an essential coenzyme that is synthesised by coupling of pyrimidine and thiazole moieties in bacteria. The previously detected thiamin-regulatory element, thi box was extended, resulting in a new, highly conserved RNA secondary structure, the THI element, which is widely distributed in eubacteria and also occurs in some archaea. The record is from RNAcentral. Lineage: Bacteria; Bacillati; Actinomycetota; Actinomycetes; Micrococcales; Micrococcaceae.